UUGAAGGGACACAACAAAAAGCAUACCAAAAAAGUCCAUGUUAUAGAAAAGUGCAAACAAAAAUGUAUAUUAGGGAAACUGUGGGGGAAAUGUCCCUAUAUUUAAAAUGGAAAGUUAAAAAGCCUUUUCAGAUAAAAUCAUAACUAACAAAUACAUAAAUAAAAACAUAGAGAUGUACACUGUCCCUUCUCUAAACUGGUAAAAACAGAAUAAGCUGAGCCAUCCUCUGUCUAUCAGUUAAAACCUUGGAGCUAUGAUCUCUAGAGGGCAUCCUGAGGAUUAAGGGGGAAUGUUUCCAUAUAAAAUCCAGAUCACAUGUGUUCUGGUCACACCAUUUUCCAAGUUGUUGAGCAAGAUCUAUACAGUUUCCAUAUUUUGAAAGGGGGCCUAAAAGAUCUGUCUUCUGCAUCAAAUAUAUCCACCUUCUUUGAUAAGUGGAAUAUGGUGACAGAAUUCAACAAUGAAUUGGAUUAUAUUAAGGACAACCUACAUUAAAAUGGCAAUUCCUCAGGGUGGCCUGGACAAACAUUAUUUAGAGCUUGAGAAGUCAGUGUCAUAUUUACAACAAAAUGGCUUUCAGCUGUAUGAGAGAGAAGUUAGGUUAUCCAUUUUAGAAAGUAUAGUCAAGGAAAGGCAAUUCAUAUCUACCCUGUUUCCCCUAAAAUAAGACAUCACCAGAAAAUAAGACCUAGUAGAGGUUUUGCUGAAUUGCUAAAUAUAAGACCUCCCCUGAAAAUAAGACCUAGAAAAGUUUUUGUUUGGAAGCAUGCCAGCUGAACAGAACACCAGAGCAUGCAGGAUCAGUAAAGUGUUGUACAUGUAAAGUGUUGUACAUGGAAAUAUUGGUAGUAACAAGAAAUUCUUGAUAGGAUUCACACUUUGUCUGGUUAUGCUGGUUUAUGAUGACAACUACUGUACAGUGUAUAAUAAAUGUUCUUUUUUUGUUCAACAAUAAAUGUGGAUUCUUCUUCAUGGAAAAAUAAGACAUCCCCUGAAAAUAAGACCUAGAGCAUCUUUGGGAGCAAAAAUUAAUAUAACAUUUAUUAUAUACUGUACAGUAGUUGUCAUCACAAACCAGCAUAACCAGACAAAGUGUGAAUCCUAUCAAGAAUUUCUUGUUACUACCAUUAUUUCCAUGUACAACACUCUAUGGUAUGUACAUUUACCAAUACCGCAUGCUCUGGUGUUCUGUUCAGCAGACAUGCUUCCAAACAAAACCUUUGCUAAGUCUUACUUUCAGGGGAGGCCUUAUAUUUAGCAAUUCAGCAAAACUUCUACUAGGUCUCAUUUCCCGAUGAUGUCUUAU
This 1306-nucleotide long non-coding RNA is filed under the name Anolis carolinensis (green anole). Its description in RNAcentral is "lncRNA (ENSACAG00000042573.1)". The record is from RNAcentral. Lineage: Eukaryota; Metazoa; Chordata; Lepidosauria; Squamata; Anolidae.